GACGAACGCUGGCGGCGUGCUUAACACAUGCAAGUCGAACGGAAAGGCCCUGAUUUUGUGGGGUGCUCGAGUGGCGCACGGGUGAGUAACACGUGAGUAAACUGCACUUGUCUUUGGGAUAACUUCAGGAAACUGGGGCUAAUACCGGAUAGGAGCUCCUGCUGCAUGGUGGGGGUUGGAAAGUUUCGGCGGUUGGGGAUGGAAUAGCGGCUUAUCAGCUUGUUGGUGGGGUAGUGGCUUACCAAGGCUUCGACGGGUAGCCGGCCUGAGAGGGUGACCGGGCACAUGGGGACUACGAUACGGCCCAGACUCCUACGGGAGGCAGCAGUCGGGAAUAUUGCACAAUGGGCGGAAGCCUGAUGCAGCAGCGCCGCGUGCGGGAUGACGUCCUUCGAGUUGUAAACCGCUGUCGCCUGAGACGAAGAGGGAGUGACGGUAAUGAGUAAAGAAGCACCGGCUAACUACGUG
Molecule: ribosomal RNA, 468 nt
Filed under: uncultured bacterium
Lineage: Bacteria
Description: partial 16S ribosomal RNA
Rfam family: Bacterial small subunit ribosomal RNA
Source: RNAcentral